GAUGAACGCUAGCUACAGGCUUAACACAUGCAAGUCGAGGGGAAACGACAUUGAAAGCUUGCUUUUGAUGGGCGUCGACCGGCGCACGGGUGAGUAACGCGUAUCCAACCUGCCCACCACUUGGGAAUAACCUUGCGAAAGUAAGACUAAUACCCAAUGACGUCUCUAGAAGACAUCUGAAAGAGAUUAAAGAUUUAUCGGUGAUGGAUGGGGAUGCGUCUGAUUAGCUUGUUGGCGGGGUAACGGCCCACCAAGGCAACGAUCAGUAGGGGUUCUGAGAGGAAGGUCCCCCACAUUGGAACUGAGACACGGUCCAAACUCCUACGGGAGGCAGCAGUGAGGAAUAUUGGUCAAUGGGCGAGAGCCUGAACCAGCCAAGUAGCGUGCAGGAUGACGGCCCUAUGGGUUGUAAACUGCUUUUAUAAGGGAAUAAAGUGAGUCUCGUGAGACUUUUUGCAUGUACCUUAUGAAUAAGGACCGGCUAAUUCCGUG
RNAcentral lists this ribosomal RNA (492 nucleotides) under uncultured bacterium. Its description in RNAcentral is "bacterial SSU rRNA". It matches the Rfam family "Bacterial small subunit ribosomal RNA", at positions 28 to 507 of the family's 1533-position model. The record is from RNAcentral.